RNAcentral lists this ribosomal RNA (542 nucleotides) under Bifidobacterium animalis subsp. lactis. RNAcentral describes it as "bacterial SSU rRNA". It matches the Rfam family "Bacterial small subunit ribosomal RNA", at positions 160 to 704 of the family's 1533-position model. The record is from RNAcentral. Lineage: Bacteria; Bacillati; Actinomycetota; Actinomycetes; Bifidobacteriales; Bifidobacteriaceae.
GUGGUAAUACCGGAUGCUCCGCUCCAUCGCAUGGUGGGGUGGGAAAUGCUUUUGCGGCAUGGGAUGGGGUCGCGUCCUAUCAGCUUGUUGGCGGGGUGAUGGCCCACCAAGGCGUUGACGGGUAGCCGGCCUGAGAGGGUGACCGGCCACAUUGGGACUGAGAUACGGCCCAGACUCCUACGGGAGGCAGCAGUGGGGAAUAUUGCACAAUGGGCGCAAGCCUGAUGCAGCGACGCCGCGUGCGGGAUGGAGGCCUUCGGGUUGUAAACCGCUUUUGUUCAAGGGCAAGGCACGGUUUCGGCCGUGUUGAGUGGAUUGUUCGAAUAAGCACCGGCUAACUACGUGCCAGCAGCCGCGGUAAUACGUAGGGUGCGAGCGUUAUCCGGAUUUAUUGGGCGUAAAGGGCUCGUAGGCGGUUCGUCGCGUCCGGUGUGAAAGUCCAUCGCCUAACGGUGGAUCUGCGCCGGGUACGGGCGGGCUGGAGUGCGGUAGGGGAGACUGGAAUUCCCGGUGUAACGGUGGAAUGUGUAGAUAUCGGGAAG